CCGGCCUCCCAGAGGCAGCUGUGACAUGAACUCCGUGGCCUGAGCACUCGGACGCCACCCCUGACUCCCCGGGUCCAGGGCCCGUCUCUCUCCAGUGUGGUCUCACUGGCCCUCUUCCUGGCCCGUGACAUGCCCUCCUAAGGUCUCGGGUGGACAGAAGAGCUGCAGCCCUGCGGCUGGUCACCGUUCCCUCCCGAGCGUUCCCGGCUUUGCAGCCUCCCUCUCACAGUCCACGGCCUCCACCCGGGGCUGGGCAGCGAUUACGGGUGUCCAAGAGGGUACCGCAUUCCUGCAGCCAAGUGGCGGUCAGUGUGGGCCGCCUGGGCCCAGGGGAGCCAAGAGUCCACCAGGCUGAGGCCAGUAUUAUCUGUCCGGAUCCGGCCCAGGGUGCCUGAGGUGUGGAGCUGCUGGCUCUGCCCUGAGUGAUCCCCACAUGGGAAGCAGAGGAGGGAGCUAAGGCGGCCCUGUGUUGAGCCAGCUGUGCCCUGAGGCGAGGCCUAAGCCCCUGCACUUCUCAGGUAUGAGUCACUUUUAAGCCGCUUUAAACUAUGUUUUGUUUAUGCUAUUCCUCCAAAGGCAGCCUGAUACAAUCAACACUAGGCUAUGGCUUCCUUUCUCUCCUCCCCUGAAAUACUGGCCCAGACAAGGCCUCAUGAUCUCCGCCAGGGGUGUAGCUGCAGGACCCUCACUCUGCUCCCCCACAUCCCUGCUGCCAAGCCUCAUCCAUUCAUCCAUGCAUCCACCCCCCGUCCAUCCUUCAUCCGUUCAUCCACGCAUCCUCCCAUCCAGUCAUCAAGUCUCCAGCAUCCAUUCACUGUCCAUCCAUCAUCGAUCCACAGGGCACCUGCUCUAGGCCCUGCGUGGCCUUGGUGCUGAGGACACGGGAGCCAGUCAGCUGCAGCCCUGGGGAAGGGGCCACACCCACGCCCGGCCGGAUCAGGUUACCGCCCUGGAAAUGAAGGGGAGACUCAGUCUGUGGGGAUGGGACAGACGGACAGCAGGACAGUGGAGCACGCGGCUGGUGUGGGACCCACAGGCCUGGCCUGGCCUCCUGCGAGGGAGGAUGACCAGAAAGAGCACAGGGGUGCCUUCCCCUUUCCCCAGCACGGGAGGGUUAGGGUGACACCCACUCCACAGACAAGGAGGUGGGCAGGGGAAGGGCUGGGCCUGCACCAGCCAGCUUCCGG
This 1187-nucleotide long non-coding RNA is filed under the name Heterocephalus glaber (naked mole-rat). Its description in RNAcentral is "lncRNA (ENSHGLG00100037997.1)". Lineage: Eukaryota; Metazoa; Chordata; Mammalia; Rodentia; Bathyergidae. The record is from RNAcentral.